RNAcentral lists this ribosomal RNA (253 nucleotides) under uncultured bacterium. Its description in RNAcentral is "partial 16S ribosomal RNA". It matches the Rfam family "Bacterial small subunit ribosomal RNA", at positions 524 to 776 of the family's 1533-position model. The record is from RNAcentral.
GACGGAGGAUGCAAGCGUUAUCCGGAAUGAUUGGGCGUAAAGCGUCCGCAGGUGGCAGUUCAAGUCUGCUGUCAAAGACCGGGGCUUAACUUCGGAAAGGCAGUGGAAACUGAACAGCUAGAGUAUGGUAGGGGCAGAGGGAAUUCCUGGUGUAGCGGUGAAAUGCGUAGAGAUCAGGAAGAACAUCGGUGGCGAAGGCGCUCUGCUGGACCAUAACUGACACUCAGGGACGAAAGCUGGGGGAGCGAAUGGG